Molecule: ribosomal RNA, 1433 nt
Filed under: Capsicum baccatum
Lineage: Eukaryota; Viridiplantae; Streptophyta; Magnoliopsida; Solanales; Solanaceae
Description: bacterial SSU rRNA
Rfam family: Bacterial small subunit ribosomal RNA
Source: RNAcentral
AGAGCUCGAUCCUGGAUCAGGAUGAAUGCUGGAGGCAUUCUUAACACAUGCAAGUCGAACGGAAAACGCGGGAAAUGGUGUUUCCAAUGGAGAACGGGUAAGUAAUGCGUAAGAACCUUUCCUUGGGAGGGGAACAACAGCUAGAAACAGCUGCUAAUACCACAUAGGCUGAGGAGAAAAAGGAGAAAUCCGCUUGAAGCGGGGCUCACAUAUGAUUAACUAGUUGGUAAGGCAAUAACUUACCAAGGCAAUGAUCAGUAGCUAGUUCGAGAUUAUGAUCAGCUACACUGGGACUAAGACACGACCUAGACUCCUGCAGAAGGAAGCAGUGGGGAAUUUUUUGCAAUGGGCAAAAGCUUGAUAGAGCAAUGACGCUUGGAGGUAGAAGACCCCUGGGUUGUGAACUUUUUUUCCCGAGAAUAAGUAAUGACGGUAUCUGGGGAAUAAGCAUCGUCUAACUCUAUGCCAGCAGCCACAGUAUUACAGAGGAUGCAAGCAUUUUCUGAAAUGAUUGGGCAUAAAGCGUCUGUAGGUGCCCUUUUAAGUCUGUCGCAAAAUACCAAGGCUUAACCCUGAACAGGCGAUGAAAAUUACCAAUUUGGAGUAUGUUAGGGGCAGAGGGAAUUUCUAGUAGAGCGGUGAAAUGCGUAGAGAUCGAAAACAACACCAAUAGGAAAAGCACUCUGCUGGGCCGACACUGACACUGAGAGACAAAAGAUAGGGGAGAGAAUGGGAUUAGAUACCUUAGUAGUCCUAGGCAUAAAGGAUAUAUACUAGGUUCUAUGCUUAUCGACCUAUGCAGUGCUGUAGCUAAUGCGUUGAGUAUCUUUCUUAGGGAGUACGUUCUCAAGAAUAAAACUCCAAAGAAUUGAUAGGGGCCCGCACAAGAGGUUGAGCAUGUGGUUUAAUUUGAUGCAAAGCUAAGAAUCUUACCAGGUCUUGACAUGCUGCGAAUCCUCUUAAAAGAGAGAGGUGCUUUCAGGAAUAUAAACACAUGUGGUGCAUUAUUGUCGUCAGCUCGUGCUGUAAGGUGUUGGGUUAAGUCCCAAAACGAGUGCAACCCUCCUGUUUAGUUUCCAUCAUUGAGUUUGGAACCCUGAAUAGACUGCCAGUGAUAAGAUGAAGGAAGGUGAGGAGGAUGUCAAGUCAUUAUGCCCCUUAUGCACUAGGAGACACAGGUUCUACAAUGGCCAGGGCAAAGGUUCGCAAUCCCACAAGGGUGACCUAACCCCAAAAACCCAUCCUUAGUUUGGAUUGUAAGCUGCAGCUCGCCUGUAUGAAGCUGGAAUCGGUAGUAGUUGUCAGUCAGCCUUACGGCGGCGAAUUCAUUCCCGAGCUUUUUACACACCGCCCGUCAUACUAUGGGAGUUGGCCAUGCCUGAAGUAGUUAUAACAAGUUAGCCAUACUCGAAGGUUUGGCUGGACCACCUCCU